This 278-nucleotide small RNA is filed under the name Pongo abelii (Sumatran orangutan). The record is from RNAcentral. Lineage: Eukaryota; Metazoa; Chordata; Mammalia; Primates; Hominidae.
GCUGGGCGGGGUGGUGCACACCUCUAGUCCCAACUACUCAGGAGGCUGAGGCAGGAGAAUUGCUUGAACCCGGGAGGCAGAGGUUGCAGUGAGCCGAGAUUAACGCCACUGCACUCCAGCCUGGUGAGACUCUGUCUCAAAAAAAAAAAAAAAAAAAAAAAAAAAAAAAAGGCUGGAUCCACAGUGGGUGCACUCUGUCACCCAGGCUGGAGUGCAGUGGCAUGAUCUUGGCUCACUGCAACCUCCACCUGCCGUGUUCAAGUGAUUCUUCUGCCUCA